GGGGAUGUUCUGGCUUCGACGCUGGUGAUGAAACUCAAUGAUGCAUGUCGAGAGUAUAUGUCCUCUCGUUAAUCAAACAUAUAUUGUUAUAGUCGCAAACGACGAAACUUACGCUCUAGCAGCUUAAACCCUGCUUACUCCUCUGCCCUUUACCCAUAGUGGGUUAGACGAGUUGAAGCGCACGCAUAUGGGUUCGCUUAAAUGAUUGCCUUAAUCAUUUAGGUUCAAACUUAAAGGAUCGCCCUAUCCAACCUGACUGUCGGUUCGGUGCGGGUUAAAGCCAAAGACAGACCCUAAACAUGUAGAUUCAUGAGCGUAGUGCUGGCGGACGCGGGUUCAACUCCCGCCAUCUCCACCA
Psychrobacter sp. PRwf-1 is the source of this 358-nucleotide non-coding RNA. The record is from Rfam. NCBI's taxonomy places the organism in Bacteria, Pseudomonadati, Pseudomonadota, Gammaproteobacteria, Moraxellales, Moraxellaceae.